AUGCAGUCGAACGGUAGAGGAGCAAUCCUCGAGAGUGGCGAACGGGUGAGUAAUACAUCGGAACGUGCCCAGUCGUGGGGGAUAACGUAGCGAAAGCUACGCUAAUACCGCAUACGACCCGAGGGUGAAAGCGGGGGACUCGCAAGAGCCUCGCGCGAUUGGAGCGGCCGAUGGCAGAUUAGGUAGUUGGUGGGGUAAAGGCCCACCAAGCCUGCGAUCUGUAGCUGGUCUGAGAGGACGACCAGCCACACUGGGACUGAGACACGGCCCAGACUCCUACGGGAGGCAGCAGUGGGGAAUUUUGGACAAUGGGCGAAAGCCUGAUCCAGCCAUACCGCGUGCGGGAAGAAGGCCUUCGGGUUGUAAACCGCUUUUGUCAGGGAAGAAAUACUUCGGGCUAAUACCCUGGGGUGAUGACGGUACCUGAAGAAUAAGCACCGGCUAACUACGUGCCAGCAGCCGCGGUAAUACGUAGGGUGCAAGCGUUAAUCGGAAUUACUGGGCGUAAAGCGUGCGCAGGCGGUUCUAUAAGACAGAUGUGAAAUCCCCGGGCUCAACCUGGGAACUGCAUUUGUGACUGUAGAGCUAGAGUACGGUAGAGGGGGAUGGAAUUCCGCGUGUAGCAGUGGAAUGCGUAGAUAUGCGGAGGAACACCGAUGGCGAAGGCAAUCCCCUGGACCUGUACUGACGCUCAUGCACGAAAGCGUGGGGAGCAAACA
RNAcentral lists this ribosomal RNA (719 nucleotides) under uncultured bacterium. Its description in RNAcentral is "bacterial SSU rRNA". It matches the Rfam family "Bacterial small subunit ribosomal RNA", at positions 55 to 774 of the family's 1533-position model. The record is from RNAcentral.